UGGUUUUACACUGGGAUGUUUGUAUAUACAUAUGUCUAUAUCUUUAGUGUUCAUCAAACUGGUACUGUCCUGUCUAAAUAAAUAAAUAAAAUAAAAAUAAAAUGAAGUAUCAGUAUUGAUUCUUCAUAGCAACUCCUUCGGGAAGGUGUUCCACCUCAGAUCUUGUUUUGUUAAGUCGGUGCUGGAUCCAUACGUCUACAGCCUCAGAUUUGGUCGUCCCGCUUCAUGUGGGAGAGGAGUGGGGUGGAGAGCAGAAAAGCAGUACUAAAACAGCAACCAGCAUGUAGUUAACUAAAUGCUAAAGUGUAAAACAUUUUGUACUAGCUGCAGGAUUUUUAUCCCAGAGAUGGAAAGACCGGGGAGCAGUGCUUACAGAGGCCGAGGUGAGAUGUAUACAAAUGCUGAACGAUAAUCUCCGCUUCAUUAGUGGAUAGAAUUGGUUGUAUUUUAGUGAGAUUGCAUACAUUAAAAAGUCUUAAUAAUAUUCUUUAGCAAGCUCAGAAUUUGUCUGCCUGCGCCUCCAUCAAAUCAACCAAACCUGCAUUACACCAAAUGAACUAAACCUUGACCUUGCUUUUAGGUAAUCCAUUUUGCCUACUUUUGAUUACCAAAUUGCCAGAAGUGCCAGUGUAGGUGCAAUAUAACAGGCUCAAAUGCCUAUCAAGGCCUAGUGCAGUCUACCAAAUUCACAAACAUGCCCCAGCACGAACAUUAAGCAACACAAGCCGCCAAACAUGGUAAACUAGACCAGGCCUGGCAUUUUAACUCUGACUGUCUGUCUACAAAAAUAGGCCACAUUUACUUAAUUAAUUGUUAAAUAAUAUUAAAAUAUAAAACUGGUUCCAUGCAAAUGUAUUGUGUACUUAAUCACACAACAUAUUAAUAAACUCAUCCAAUAUUGA
Long non-coding RNA from Syngnathus acus (greater pipefish), 902 nucleotides. RefSeq lists it as uncharacterized. The record is from RefSeq and is a predicted model, not a curated record. Lineage: Eukaryota; Metazoa; Chordata; Actinopteri; Syngnathiformes; Syngnathidae. The transcript has 2 exons.